RNAcentral lists this long non-coding RNA (3856 nucleotides) under Amphimedon queenslandica. RNAcentral describes it as "uncharacterized LOC109585052". The record is from RNAcentral. Lineage: Eukaryota; Metazoa; Porifera; Demospongiae; Haplosclerida; Niphatidae.
AAAACAACACGGGAAAAUAUAACUAAGAACAGUAACAGUGAGAACAUCACACACGCAAAAUGAAACCUCAACAAAAGCUUUACAAAUUAUAGCUUUGUGGCUGGUUUCUACUUAAUGACAAAAUUUUGAAAAUGCACUAAAAUCCAAUAAAGUGACAAAACUCCAGAUACAUUAGUUCCCUCCAACUUAACCCAAAACAUUAUCAAGUCAAGCCCUUUCAAACAAAUUCCGGGGCAGAACAAUAAAUACGCAAAUCCAGCCUUACAAUAAAAUAAAUGCCGUGUAGGUACUUUCUUAGGAUCACAGGUUAAAACUUUGCCGUUGGCCAAAUUUAUUUCAUUACUAUAAUUAUUUUCCAAGUCCAAAUGCCAUUUUAAGAAAUAAACAGUGGGCUUUUAUUUAAGGAAACAUGGCACAUGUAAAAUAUAAAAGUUAGAGGUGCAUAUCACUAGUGGAGUCCCCAAUAGUCCCCACAUCUGGGGACACAGAGUCCCCAGAUGUCAGCCUGCGGAAAGCUAAAGAAAGACUUCAAGGGGCAAAGGUCAUAUACUCGCUUCAAACUGUAGAUACGAUGCAUUCACAAUUUCACAUGCAUCAUAGCAUAGAUUUUACAUAACACGGAUUAGAAACUGAUCACAUGAUCCCAUUCAAAUCAGGCCCCAUUUACACAGCAACGCAAAAUGCAUUUUUAGAAUGAUACACUUUGAACACCGUUUUUGUUUCCAAAGAGUUCUAUCAAGAUGCUUUCUUAUUUUCAUUAAUUUCUGUGUAAACAAAAGCAUAAAGCAGGCACAAAAAUCAACAGAUUGCAGUGUUUUUUUUUACUGGGUAAAUGCAGUCUCAAUGUAAGUAGGCACUGAGAGACUUUGUAUUUAUCUCUAUCUUAAUCUCCUUCAGCUACUUCAUUGAUAUGGCCAAGAGAACUGCCUGAUUACAUGUAGCUGGAAGCAAGCUCCAAGUCAACUAUACAGCUUAAACUGUUCUUACGGGAGGUUUACUACAGCACUUAAAAUUGUUAAAACUGUGGUGAGAUGCUUCAUUUCGAUGUAAAAUGAGAUACUGUUCUCAUAUCUAUUCAACCUACAUGUAUAACUUGCUCGGAGUAACUACAUGUAAAACUAAACACAUUAUAGUAUAAGAAUAAUUAUGCAUCAAACAAAGCUGCAUGAGGAUAGGACAGUUACAUUAUAUUAUCACACGCGCUAAGUAGCUAGCAGGUUGAAACUUGGUAUAGUUGCAAAACAGGCUCUUCCGAAAAUCUGUACCAAUUUUGGAGUCUCUAGGUACUCUGGAAGGUUCUCAAACGGUUCUUCUGGUCAAAAUGAAAGGGGGCUGCAUGAUGUUCCAUGAUGUGUAGCUUUGUGAAUAUCAUUUGCAUGUUAUUAAUUAUGUCAAUAAUCAUGUUUUUUAUUAUUAAAAAUCAAAUAAAGCAAAUGAAACACUCCAGGCCAAGACAAAAAUUGAACUAGAAGACUUUACACUCCAGACAAAAAUCUCUCUUAGUCUGCUGUGCCUCUCUAAGCCUUCUUUAUUUGUCCUCAGUAUUGCUGGUAAAAGCAAGCACAAAAAUUCUUCACGUCAAUUGCAGGGUUGGUAGUGACGAAAAGAGGAGAAAAAACAAGUUACAACAAAUAGAAAAGAGCAUAAUAAAGUUUUCAGCCAUUUUAUUUACGUGUGGGUGGGGAUACAUGUGACGUUUUAAUGAUUAAAACAUCCAGUUAAACUUAACUUAAACCGACUAUAAAAGCCAUGAAGUGCCAAAAUGUUGUCUUCAGAGGCCCAUCUAUUCAACAACUAUCUUUAGAUAGAAUAAGAAUGAAGAAAAAAGGACCAGACAACACAAAAGUUCGGAGUCUUUGACAUGAGGAUAGGCUAUAAACAAAGCCAUAGACCUAACAGUGAUAAAAUAAUAGCACUAUUACAUUUACACAUGUAAUUUGUGCCAUUACAAAGGUAAUUUCAAUGAUAAAUUGGGACCAAGAGAGGCAACAAUUUUUUGAGCAAAACUAUGCUUAACUGUCACUAAGAACAGUCCUGAACUCUCAAGACCUAUCUGCUCAUCAUCAAUAGUAAAUAAAACUCAAAUACAGUUGGAAGCUUGGAGAAGAGCUUGUGUAGUCCUUCCAUUGCUUUUCCACCAAUACAAAGUCUGUCCCUGUGACCCUGUGACGUCAUCAGUUUCCAAUCCAUGUUAUGUAGUUAUAAAAUCUGCAAUCAUAUCCACUCACAGGGUAAUUCAGAAGUCGAAAUGACAUGCAGUCAUCAAUCAUUUUUAAAGGAAAUCAAGCUCCUGACUGUUUUACCCUAUUAGUCGUAUGACCAAUAGUCAGUACUAUAAAAUUUAUAUUACAUUUUAAAAAAUUCACUUGUCUACAAGGAUCAAGCAAAUGGCAGUUAAAAAAGUAACUGACAAUAUAUUCUGGAUCACCACAAAAAGCUAAAAUAUCAUCUUUUAUUAGCUGGAAGUGUUCCACUUCUUAGACAACACUGAUCGUGGAGUAUUACCAAACAACACUGGUCCUGUAGCAGCUCCGUCUUUUGCCAUAGUAAAGUAGUCAAUUUAAGUUGAAUUAGAACAGGCACCACCCCUUUUAACUUUGUAGUAUUAGUGCUAGAAAACUGAAACUUCGUAUACCAUAGGGUACUUUUUCGAGGGCGGUAAAUUUCACAGAUUUUGCGAUUUUCAAGGAUUCACAAGAAAAUGAUUUUGCGAAAACCAAAUUAUCAAGGUACAAGAUGGCAAGCGGAAUAAAUUCGUGAAAAUUAAAUCUGGAAAAUGAACGUGUAGAUUUUUAUGUCAAUGUGCGAAAUUACAGUCCUCAAGAAAAAGGUACCCUGCAAGAGAUGCAAAACGUAUUCUUCCGAAAUCUAUACCAAUUUUUGGGCUUCUAGAUGUACUCUGCAAAGAUCUGAAUAAGUUCUUUCGCUCAGGUUCAGUGAAGUGAAAUAAUAAAUCAUUACAGAACACCCAUAAAUAUCAUUUCUAUCUCAUUAAUAUUGAAUGUUUUCACUUACUAAUAAAAGCAAAACAGAAAGGUCUAGAGAAGCUGGUACUUAACUACAUUGUAGCAGGCUUUACAACUGAAAACAUUCUGAUAUAUCAGUUUACAGCCUUUUUGAUUCAAGUUACUCUUUAUCACUUCCAACCUAAGUUUAUAUCUUCCGUAUCCGCAGUCAAGUCAAUAAUAAUUAAGGGCAGUAGCAUAUAAAGUAAUGAUAAAUCCAUAUUAAAAGUCUAGGAAGAAAAGAAAUUCUCAAUAAAGCAGCUUGCUUUAACUGUGUCACCAUUUUGAGUUGGCUAUCUGACGUUUUGAUGAUGUAUAAGUUGACUUACUUCCUGUGCCAACUCAAAUAAAAUUGACAUGUUAGGGUGAAGCUUUAAAUUAAUAACUAAUUAACUAAUAACUAAUUAAAUGUAAAGAAUUAGUGGUAAAAUCAAUAGUGAAAUGAUCACAUAUUAAUUUGAAUUAGCCAAAUAUUGAAUAUCAGUAUCAGUACUUCAAGUGAGUAACGACAAGAGUACAUAAUAUAAAGAGAGUAUCCAACAGCCCUAUAGCAGACUGCUGCACGAGGGCGUAUUUGCUCAAAGUCACAAUCCGCAUACUCCAGUAUACUUACCAUAUCACGUCAUCAACCAUGUGGCAACAUUAUCUGGCCCUUAGCUUUUAAAAACUUGGCAAUCUCUUUCAAUACAAGAAAGGAACUUGAAAGAAGGCUGGAAAGAUGAACUACAAAGGCAGUGCCACUAGUAUCCAGGAGAUUGUACCCCAAGCACUUGCCAACUCCUGACAAUGGCAACUCAAUGUCUAAGCAAUACAGUAUAACCUCGAUUAUCCGGACCCCUUUGUCCAUCAGG